RNAcentral lists this ribosomal RNA (497 nucleotides) under uncultured bacterium. RNAcentral describes it as "partial 16S ribosomal RNA". It matches the Rfam family "Bacterial small subunit ribosomal RNA", at positions 28 to 507 of the family's 1533-position model. The record is from RNAcentral.
GAUGAACGCUGGCGGCGUGCCUAAUACAUGCAAGUCGAGCGAACAGACGAGGAGCUUGCUCCUCUGACGUUAGCGGCGGACGGGUGAGUAACACGUGGAUAACCUACCUAUAAGACUGGGAUAACUUCGGGAAACCGGAGCUAAUACCGGAUAAUAUAUUGAACCGCAUGGUUCAAUAGUGAAAGACGGUUUUGCUGUCACUUAUAGAUGGAUCCGCGCCGCAUUAGCUAGUUGGUAAGGUAACGGCUUACCACGGCAACGAUGCGUAGCCGACCUGAGAGGGGGAUCGGCCACACUGGAACUGAGACACGGUCCAGACUCCUACGGGAGGCAGCAGUAGGGAAUCUUCCGCAAUGGGCGAAAGCCUGACGGAGCAACGCCGCGUGAGUGAUGAAGGUCUUCGGAUCGUAAAACUCUGUUAUUAGGGAAGAACAAAUGUGUAAGUAACUAUGCACGUCUUGACGGUACCUAAUCAGAAAGCCACGGCUAACUACGUG